GAUGAACGUUGGCGGUGUGCCUAAUACAUGCAAGUCGAACGGAGCUAAUAGCAAUAUUGGCUUAGUGGCGAACGGGUGAGUAACGCGUUGGUGAUCUGCCUUGAAGUGUGGAAUAACGUUUCGAAAGAGACGCUAAUACCGCAUGUGCUCUCGAUUUUUAGAAACUUGAGAGUAAAGGAUUUAUUCGCUUCAAGAGGAGCCUGCGUCCCAUCAGCUGGUUGGUAGGUAACGCCUACCAAGGCUAUGACGGGUAGGGGACCUGAGAGGGUGGCCCCCCACAAUGGAACUGAAACACGGUCCAUACACCUACGGGAGGCUG
This 319-nucleotide ribosomal RNA is filed under the name uncultured Chloroflexota bacterium. RNAcentral's name for it is "bacterial SSU rRNA". It matches the Rfam family "Bacterial small subunit ribosomal RNA", at positions 28 to 351 of the family's 1533-position model. Lineage: Bacteria; Bacillati; Chloroflexota. The record is from RNAcentral.